GCCGGCGAGCGGCGGACGGGUGAGUAAUGCCUGGGAAAUUGCCCAGUCGAGGGGGAUAACAGUUGGAAACGAUUGCUAAUACCGCAUACGCCCUACGGGGGAAAGCAGGGGACCUUCGGGCCUUGCGCGAUUGGAUAUGCCCAGGUGGGAUUAGCUAGUUGGUGAGGUAAUGGCUCACCAAGGCGACGAUCCCUAGCUGGUCUGAGAGGAUGAUCAGCCACACUGGAACUGAGACACGGUCCAGACUCCUACGGGAGGCAGCAGUGGGGAAUAUUGCACAAUGGGGGCAACCCUGAUGCAGCCAUGCCGCGUGUGUGAAGAAGGCCUUCGGGUUGUAAAGCACUUUCAGCGAGGAGGAAAGG
RNAcentral lists this ribosomal RNA (362 nucleotides) under Aeromonas sp. Its description in RNAcentral is "bacterial SSU rRNA". It matches the Rfam family "Bacterial small subunit ribosomal RNA", at positions 87 to 452 of the family's 1533-position model. The record is from RNAcentral. Lineage: Bacteria; Pseudomonadati; Pseudomonadota; Gammaproteobacteria; Aeromonadales; Aeromonadaceae.